GUCACCGCUGCCUGCUCUCUGCCCAGCCUCUCUCAGUCCUGGGCGUGGCCAUGAGCUUCAGUAUUCUAGAGCCCUCCCCUCACGCUCUCCCUAAAAACAAAGGCCCCGGAAGGCCAGCUGGACCCUGCAGGGAACAGACCUAGGCUACCCCCUCGGCUCUGAGAUUUGCACUUGAGUGGGGACAUCAGGUUCCUCCAGGGGCAAGAGGCCUGGAGGUCCCAGGGCAGGUGUGAGGGAAGCUCUAUUUCUGGGUUCUCUUCCCGAUGCCCACCCCACCCCCAAUCUGGGCACCAUUUGCUCCCACAGGGAAAGCACUGAGGGGAAUUCCCUUGGGCUCCCGGGGCCAUGAGAAAGUUGGCGCAGGGCAAGGGGGGGCCUUCCCGGGUGGCUCUCUGGGAAGCCACUUGUCCUCACAGCCACCCCUGGGGCUCCUGCAUCCCCCUUCAGGCUUUGGCUCACUGCCCCAGGACCCUGAGAAGGCUCGCAGAGUAGGGGGGAAGCCUGACUCAUCCCCCAACGAGCAGGCACGCAUAGCCCAUCGACCGCACCCCUCCUCCCCCAGGCAAGAGCUGUGAUUUUCCACUUGCGCCAUCUGAUUGCUAUUAGGGCCGGGAAAAGGGGGUUCCUGGUUCCAUACGCCAGCAUGGGGCCUUGGGCAGAUUCCAGGGCAGCCCUGAGGAGCUGCAGGACGGGAAGGAGAUUAACAGCUGGACUCCGGCAGCAGUGCUCUGGCCAACAUGACGUCACCAGGCGGGGAGAUGAGUUCCCAGUGAGGCUGGGGGGGGGGGUUGCUCCUGAGCGGGGGCAUUCCUUCCCGAAGCUUCAUCCCAGCUCUGGCUCAGCCCCUCCCCCCUCCUCCUCCCUGUCCCCCUCCCUCCGGGCCUGGAAUUGGGUUUGGGGCGGGUUCUGCUCCUCAGGCCAUCUCCUCCACAGGCAGGCAGGCAGGCAGGCAGGCAGGCAAGGGCUGUCCUCCACUCUGAGCUCGCCUCUUCCGAGGCUCCGGGCACUGCUCUGUGCUGGCCUGCUGCCCCGGGAUCCACAGCCAGAGGCGGGUGUCGCGCUCCACGAAGGAGAGACCGCGGAAGGUCAGGACAGCUGCAGUCACCUGUUGUGGAAAGACCCGACACCUUAG
Molecule: long non-coding RNA, 1132 nt
Filed under: Ailuropoda melanoleuca (giant panda)
Lineage: Eukaryota; Metazoa; Chordata; Mammalia; Carnivora; Ursidae
Description: lncRNA (ENSAMEG00000028366.1)
Source: RNAcentral